This 361-nucleotide ribosomal RNA is filed under the name Nyssomyia yuilli. Its description in RNAcentral is "partial 12S ribosomal RNA". The record is from RNAcentral. Lineage: Eukaryota; Metazoa; Arthropoda; Insecta; Diptera; Psychodidae.
AUUAUUAAAAUAUAAGAAAAUUUUUUAGAUUAGUAUUAAAUAUAUUUAUGAAAUUAAAAUAAUUUGGCGGUAUUUUAGUCUAUUCAGAGGAAUUUGUUUUAUAAUUGAUAAUCCUCGUUAUAUUUUACUUAUUUUAUUAAAUUUGUAUAUCGUUGUCAUUAGAAUAUUUUAUAAGAAAAAUAAUUUUCUUAAAUUAUUUUAAAAUUUUAUGUCAAAUCAAGGUGCAGUUUAUAUUUAAGAAAAAAUGAAUUACAAUAAUAUAUAAUUAUAAUGGAUUAAAAAUUGAAAGAAUUUUAUGAAGGUGGAUUUGAUAGUAAAUUUAAUAAGAAUGUUAAAUUGAUUAUAGCUCUAAAAUAUGUAC